GAGACCUCAGGUCAGGCGGGGCUACCCGCUGAGUUUAAGCAUAUCAAUAGCGGGAAAGGAA
Molecule: ribosomal RNA, 61 nt
Filed under: Vigna unguiculata (cowpea)
Lineage: Eukaryota; Viridiplantae; Streptophyta; Magnoliopsida; Fabales; Fabaceae
Description: partial large subunit ribosomal RNA
Source: RNAcentral